This 146-nucleotide ribosomal RNA is filed under the name Lolium perenne. RNAcentral's name for it is "partial 16S ribosomal RNA". It matches the Rfam family "Bacterial small subunit ribosomal RNA", at positions 1038 to 1185 of the family's 1533-position model. Lineage: Eukaryota; Viridiplantae; Streptophyta; Magnoliopsida; Poales; Poaceae. The record is from RNAcentral.
GUGGUGCACGGUUGUCGUCAGCUCGUGCCGUAAGGUGUUGGGUUAAGUCCCGCAACGAGCGCAACCCUCGUGUUUAGUUGCCAACGUUGAGUUUGGAACCCUGAGCAGACUGCCGGUGGUAAGCCGGAGGAAGGUGGGGAUGACGU